AUGAUUUGAUAUUAAUAUACAUGACAAAGCAUUAGUAACUCAGAUUGGAUUAGUUGCUCAAGCAACUUAAAAAACUACAACAUAAUUCUUAUUUCGUUUUCAGCCUACGUACCCCAACUAGCUUGGGAUAAAAAAAAAGGCUUUGUCGAGUUGAGUUGUAAUGUUGCUUAGUUCGAGAUUCUCUAUCCCGUCUCGGCAAGGAUUUCUACCAAGUUCUGCGGACUUCACAAUUGAAGAGAACCAAACUAGUAGAUUAAUUGGUCAACUCAUCACAUAUCGUGAACAUGGAUCAAAAGUAGGCAUUCAGUUAAUUACCAGAUACUGAAAAGGUUCUUUGGAACUUCUCUUUGAGAAAGAACUUGGAAUAUUCUGU
This 373-nucleotide long non-coding RNA is filed under the name Panax ginseng (ginseng). Its description in RNAcentral is "long non-coding RNA (PGIN_LNC018315)". The record is from RNAcentral. Lineage: Eukaryota; Viridiplantae; Streptophyta; Magnoliopsida; Apiales; Araliaceae.